Molecule: ribosomal RNA, 510 nt
Filed under: uncultured bacterium
Lineage: Bacteria
Description: bacterial SSU rRNA
Rfam family: Bacterial small subunit ribosomal RNA
Source: RNAcentral
GCAACGCGAAGAACCUUACCAGGUCUUGACAUCCCCCUGAAUGUUCUAGAGAUAGAGCAGGCCUUCGGGACAGGGGAGACAGGUGGUGCAUGGUUGUCGUCAGCUCGUGUCGUGAGAUGUUGGGUUAAGUCCCGCAACGAGCGCAACCCUUGAUCUUUGUUGCCAGCACGUAAAGGUGGGCACUCUAAGAUGACUGCCGGUGACAAACCGGAGGAAGGUGGGGAUGACGUCAAAUCAUCAUGCCCCUUAUGACCUGGGCUACACACGUACUACAAUGGCCGGUACAGAGGGCAGCGAUACCGCGAGGUGGAGCGAAUCUCAGAAAGCCGGUCUCAGUUCGGAUUGCAGGCUGCAACUCGCCUGCAUGAAGCCGGAAUUGCUAGUAAUCGCGGAUCAGCAUGCCGCGGUGAAUACGUUCCCGGGUCUUGUACACACCGCCCGUCACACCACGAGAGUUUACAACACCCGAAGUCGGUGAGGUAACCGCAAGGAGCCAGCCGCCGAAGGUGG